This 254-nucleotide ribosomal RNA is filed under the name uncultured bacterium. RNAcentral describes it as "partial 16S ribosomal RNA". It matches the Rfam family "Bacterial small subunit ribosomal RNA", at positions 1247 to 1500 of the family's 1533-position model. The record is from RNAcentral.
AGGCAAGCCGGUGACGGCAAGCAAACCCCAAAAAUACCGUCCCAGUUCGGACUGUAGUCUGCAACCCGACUACACGAAGCCGGAAUCGCUAGUAAUCGCGGAUCAGAAUGCCGCGGUGAAUACGUUCCCGGGUCUUGUACACACCGCCCGUCACACCAUGGGAGUCGGAAAUGCCCGAAGUCAGUGACCGAACCGAAAGGAAGGAGCUGCCGAAGGUGGAGCCGGUAACUGGGGUGAAGUCGUAACAAGGUAAC